Molecule: ribosomal RNA, 336 nt
Filed under: Nitrospina sp.
Lineage: Bacteria; Pseudomonadati; Nitrospinota; Nitrospinia; Nitrospinales; Nitrospinaceae
Description: bacterial SSU rRNA
Rfam family: Bacterial small subunit ribosomal RNA
Source: RNAcentral
UAACUGGAGAGUUUGAUCCUGGCUCAGAACGAACGCUGGCGGCGUGCCUAACACAUGCAAGUCGAACGAGAAAGUUUCCUUCGGGAAACCAGUAAAGUGGCGCAAGGGUGAGUAACACGUGAAUAAUCUGCCUACGAAUUCGGGAUAACUCGACGAAAGUUGUGCUAAUACCGGAUAAGACCACACUUCUUAUGGAGCGUGGCCAAAGGAGUCUCAAACUCCGUUUGUAGAUGAGUUCGCGGACCAUUAGCUUGUUGGCGGGAUAACAGCCCACCAAGGCGACGAUGGUUAGCCGGCCUGAGAGGGUGAACGGUCACACUGGAACUGAGACACGGU